AUGGUUUCAAAUAGUGAAAGGACGGCCUUGCCUGUCACUUAUAGAUGGAUCCGCGCCGUAUUAGCUAGUUGGUAAGGUAACGGCUUACCAAGGCAACGAUACGUAGCCCGACCUGAGAGGGUGAUCGGCCACACUGGAACUGAGACACGGUCCAGACUCCUACGGGAGGCAGCAGUAGGGAAUCUUCCGCAAUGGGGCGAAAGCCUGACGGAGCAAACGCCGCGUGAGUGAUGAAGGUCUUCGGAUCGUAAAACUCUGUUAUCAGGGAAGAACAAAACGUGUAAGUAACUGUGCACGUCUUGACGGUACCUGAUCAGAAAGCCACGGCUAACUACGUGCCAGCAGCCGCGGUAAUACGUAGGUGGCAAGCGUUAUCCGGAAUUAUUGGGCGUAAAGCGCGCGUAGGCGGUUUUUUAAGUCUGAUGUGAAAGCCCACGGCUCAACCGUGGAGGGUCAUUGGAAACUGGAAAACUUGAGUGCAGAAGAGGAAAGUGGAAUUCCAUGUGUAGCGGUGAAAUGCGCAGAGAUAUGGAGGAACACCAGUGGCGAAGGCGACUUUCUGGUCUGUAACUGACGCUGAUGAUGCGAAAGCGUGGGGAUCACAAGGAUGAGAUACCCUGGUAGUCCACGCCGUAAACGAUGAGCGCUAAGAAGUUAGGGGGUUUCCGCCCCCCCCUUAGUUGCUGGCAGCUUAACGCAUUUAAAGCACUCCCGCCUGGGGGGGAGUACGACCCGCCAAGGGUUGAAAUCUCCAAAAGGAAAUUGACCGGGGACCCGCACAAGCGGUGGAGCAUGUGGUUUAAUUCGAAGGCAACGCGAAGAACCUUACCAAAUCUUGACAUCCUUUGACCGCUCUAGAGAUAGAGUUUUCCCCUUCGGGGGACAAAGUGACAGGUGGUGCAUGGUUGUCGUCAGCUCGUGUCGUGAGAUGUUGGGUUAAGUCCCGCAACGAGCGCAACCCUUAAGCUUAGUUGCCAUCAUUAAGUUGGGCACUCUAAGUUGACUGCCGGUGACAAACCGGAGGAAGGUGGGGAUGACGUCAAAUCAUCAUGCCCCUUAUGAUUUGGGCUACACACGUGCUACAAUGGACAAUACAAAGGGCAGCUAAACCGCGAGGUCAAGCAAAUCCCAUAAAGUUGUUCUCAGUUCGGAUUGUAGUCUGCAACUCGACUACAUGAAGCUGGAAUCGCUAGUAAUCGUAGAUCAGCAUGCUACGGUGAAUACGUUCCCGGGUCUUGUACACACCGCCCGUCACACCACGAGAGUUUGUAACACCCGAAGCCG
Molecule: ribosomal RNA, 1284 nt
Filed under: Staphylococcus pasteuri
Lineage: Bacteria; Bacillati; Bacillota; Bacilli; Caryophanales; Staphylococcaceae
Description: bacterial SSU rRNA
Rfam family: Bacterial small subunit ribosomal RNA
Source: RNAcentral